RNAcentral lists this ribosomal RNA (161 nucleotides) under Mastocarpus papillatus s.l. clade 1. RNAcentral's name for it is "5.8S ribosomal RNA". It matches the Rfam family "5.8S ribosomal RNA". From Rfam's summary of the family: 5.8S ribosomal RNA (5.8S rRNA) is a component of the large subunit of the eukaryotic ribosome. It is transcribed by RNA polymerase I as part of the 45S precursor that also contains 18S and 28S rRNA. Lineage: Eukaryota; Rhodophyta; Florideophyceae; Gigartinales; Phyllophoraceae. The record is from RNAcentral.
ACUCGUGACGGUGGAUGUCUUGGCUCCAGCAACGAUGAAGAACGCAGCAAAAUGCGAUACGUAGUGCGAAUUGCAGAACCCGUGAAUCAUCGAAUCCUUUGAACGCAAGUUGCGCUCGCGGGCAAUCCUGCGAGCAUGUCUGUUUGAGUGUCCGCACAAAU